RNAcentral lists this ribosomal RNA (597 nucleotides) under uncultured bacterium. RNAcentral's name for it is "bacterial SSU rRNA". It matches the Rfam family "Bacterial small subunit ribosomal RNA", at positions 28 to 635 of the family's 1533-position model. The record is from RNAcentral.
AAUGAACGUUGGCGGCGUGGAUUAGGCAUGCAAGUCGAGCGAGAAUCCUAGCUUGCUAGGAGGACAGCGGCGAAAGGGACAGUAAUGUGUAGAUUAUCUGCCCUCAGGUCCGGGAUAGCUGCGGGAAACUGCAGGUAAUACCGGAUAACAUCUACGGAUCAAAGGUGUGAUUCCGCCUGAGGAUGAGUCUACAUCCUAUUAGCUUGUUGGUAGGGUAACGGCCUACCAAGGCAAUGAUGGGUAGCGGGUGUGAGAGCACGACCCGCGUCAUUGGGACUGAGACACUGCCCAGACACCUACGGGUGGCUGCAGUCGAGAAUCUUCGGCAAUGGGCGCAAGCCUGACCGAGCGACGCCGCGUGCGGGAUGAAGGCCUUCGGGUUGUAAACCGCUGUCAGAGGGGAUGAAAUGCAGGUGGGUUCUCCCAUCUGUUUGACAUAGCCUCAGAGGAAGGACGGGCUAAGUUCGUGCCAGCAGCCGCGGUAAGACGAACCGUCCAAACGUUAUUCGGAAUCACUGGGCUUAAAGAGUGCGUAGGCGGCUUGGUAAGUUGGAUGUGAAAUCCCUCGGCUCAACCGAGGAACUGCGUUCAAUACUG